Molecule: long non-coding RNA, 407 nt
Organism: Clarias gariepinus (North African catfish)
Lineage: Eukaryota; Metazoa; Chordata; Actinopteri; Siluriformes; Clariidae
Exons: 3
Source: RefSeq, a predicted model, not a curated record
GUAGCGCUCAGGCCCGGCCUGCGUUCACAGUGGAGUAAAAAAAAAAAAAAAAGCAUAAGGCUCUGUGCCUUGAGGCUCCUCUGGUUGGAUACGGAACUUCUCAGGGCAGCUGGGACCAACCUGAAGCUCCUUCAGCGCCUCGGAGAAUACUGUUAUCUGCUCCAUCUUGUUAGAGAACAUCUGGAGAAAAUAUCUGGAGAGCUUCUAAAAGGGAGUGGACUUUGAAGAAAAGAGAUGCAACGUGUCAUUUGGGAAAGCUGUGCCAGUGACCAACAUCUGCGAUCUUUGGGCUGCGCUGUGGUUGAAGGCAGAAAAACAAGAACAACAGCAAUAAAAGAAGACUUAGCACAAGCACAUGAACUCACAAGAAGAAUGCCUGGCUCAGAUAAGGUGGUGCGUCACUCUGU